Molecule: ribosomal RNA, 397 nt
Filed under: uncultured bacterium
Lineage: Bacteria
Description: partial 16S ribosomal RNA
Rfam family: Bacterial small subunit ribosomal RNA
Source: RNAcentral
AUACGUAGGGUGCGAGCGUUGUCCGGAAUUACUGGGCGUAAAGAGCUCGUAGGUGGUUUGUCGCGUCGUCUGUGAAAUUCCGGGGCUUAACUCCGGGCGUGCAGGCGAUACGGGCAUAACUUGAGUACUGUAGGGGAGACUGGAAUUCCUGGUGUAGCGGUGAAAUGCGCAGAUAUCAGGAGGAACACCGGUGGCGAAGGCGGGUCUCUGGGCAGUAACUGACGCUGAGGAGCGAAAGCAUGGGUAGCGAACAGGAUUAGAUACCCUGGUAGUCCAUGCCGUAAACGGUGGGCGCUAGGUGUAGGGGUCUUCCACGACUUCUGUGCCGUAGCUAACGCAUUAAGCGCCCCGCCUGGGGAGUACGGCCGCAAGGCUAGAACUCAAAGGAAUUGACGGG